GGCUUUGCGCAGUGGCAGUAUCGUAGCCAAUGAGGUUUAUCCGAGGUGCGCUUAUUGCUAAUUGGAAGAAAGAAAGAAAGAAAAUC
RNAcentral lists this small nuclear RNA (86 nucleotides) under Neogale vison (American mink). RNAcentral describes it as "Neovison vison (American mink) U4 spliceosomal RNA (ENSNVIG00000004676.1)". The stretch from base 1 to 69 matches the Rfam family "U4 spliceosomal RNA". Rfam says of the family: U4 small nuclear RNA (U4 snRNA) is a component of the major U2-dependent spliceosome. The structure of U4 snRNA from yeast and human has been reported. The record is from RNAcentral. Lineage: Eukaryota; Metazoa; Chordata; Mammalia; Carnivora; Mustelidae.